ACACCUCAACUCUCACGGCUUGCCGUGACGAGCUUGGACUUUGGGGGUCUUGUUGGCGUUUGAGCCAGCUCCUCUUAAAUGAAUCAGCUUGCCGGUGUUUGGUGGCAUCAUGGGUGUGAUAACUAUCUACGCUUGUGGUUUCCCACCGGGUAACCUUCAGCAAUGGAGGUUCACUGGGGCUUAUAAAUAUCUCGCCUCGGUGAGGACAGAUUUUGACC
RNAcentral lists this unclassified non-coding RNA (218 nucleotides) under uncultured Tomentella. Its description in RNAcentral is "sequence contains ITS2". Lineage: Eukaryota; Fungi; Basidiomycota; Agaricomycetes; Thelephorales; Thelephoraceae. The record is from RNAcentral.